Molecule: unclassified non-coding RNA, 1358 nt
Filed under: Hevea brasiliensis (rubber tree)
Lineage: Eukaryota; Viridiplantae; Streptophyta; Magnoliopsida; Malpighiales; Euphorbiaceae
Source: RNAcentral
AGAAGAUGGCACAAACAGUGCCCGAUUCAGGGGGUUAUAUAGAAAAUUUGCAUCAUGCAAGGCUUUUGCUGCUAGAUUGUGUGCAGCUUUAUUACAUUCUCUUCUACUAAACAUAAAAGAAAUAUACACUGAAAGAGCAAGUACAGUGAUUAUCAUUAAUAAUCCCCUGAAUACUAAUAGAAGAAUUAGUACCCCUGCAACUUUGAAUGACUGUUUGUGAAUCUCCCUUAAUAAUCACUCUAGAGUAUCCUUUGCUGAUUGCAAGUUGCACUGCAUGCCUACUAACCAAACUUUCAAGAACAAAAGGAUCAUUCAUAUUGGUCAUUCUUUUGCACCUCCAACUCAAGAUAUGCCCCAAGCUAUCCCUAACAACAACUGCCACUACACCUUCUACUCUAUUCAAACUAACAGCAACAUCAAAAUUUAUCUUCACCACAUCUCGGGGCGGAGGAGUCCAAAUUUGAGGCUGGUUGACCUCCCUAAGAGUUGCAACCUUGGGAUCUUGCACUGUAGGAAGUUCUGAUGACGACUCAUUGCUGCAUUUAUCACUUGCUGAUAUGGAAUCCUUUGGUUUUCAAAAGUAAGGCUAUUUCUUGCCUUCCAAAUGUGCCAAAGAUAAAAAUACUAAGAGAGAAGUGAGGUCAGCUCUAUCAUCCAUACCACGAAUAGCAGAGCUCAAUUCUAACCAGCAGUUUAUGAAGGAAUUGCUGCGAAACAAAGCCAAUCUAAGUUGGAAGGGGGAGUGGAUCCACACUUCAGCUGCUCUCAGGCACAGAAAAAAUAAAUGUUCACUUGUUUCAAGGUGGCCACAGCAACUGCAUUCUGGGGCUAUGUUAGGAAACCGAGAGUGAAGAUUGUGCUUAGUAGGAAGACUUUCCUUGCAAGAUCUCCAUAGAAAAAUUAGUAACUUACAGGGAACUUGUAAUUUCCAAGAAUUUUUUCCAGAAUUCAACAUUGUUUCAUUGAGAGGAGGGUAGCAUUGGCAGCAUGGAUGUCAUGUGCUAGGUGAUACCUGGAUUUUACUUGGUAUUUCCCAUCCCUAGUGAAGUGCCAGAUUAGUUGAUCAUCCCUUUGAAUUAGAGGAAUAGGGAUGGCCAUAAUAUUCACAACUUCAUCCUCUACGAAUACUUCCCUUAAGGCAGCCCUGUUCCAACAUCCUCGUUGUCUGCCAAUUAACUGCACCACCCAAUUAAUAGCUGGAUUAGGUACCGCCUUGAGCUUUGGAAAAUUUGGGAAUGACCGAGGAAUCCAUAAGUCCUCCUUGCAAAGAAUAGACCUGCCGUCGUGGACCUGCCAUCGAGGUGAUUGAGAAUAUCCCUGCCCCCAUAGUAUACUUUUUCAUCCCCACGAAGGAUUGG